This 440-nucleotide ribosomal RNA is filed under the name uncultured bacterium. RNAcentral's name for it is "partial 16S ribosomal RNA". It matches the Rfam family "Bacterial small subunit ribosomal RNA", at positions 338 to 795 of the family's 1533-position model. The record is from RNAcentral.
CCUACGGGGGGCAGCAGUGGGGAAUAUUGCACAAUGGGGGAAACCCUGAUGCAGCGACGCCGCGUGAGUGAAGAAGUCAUUCGUGAUGUAAAGCUCUAUCAGCAGGGAAGAAAGUGACGGUAUCUGAGUAAGAAGCCCCGGCUAACUACGUGCCAGCAGCCGCGGUAAUACGUAGGGGGCACGCGUUAUCAGGAUUUACUGGGUGUAAAGGGAGCGUAGACGGCUGUGCAAGUCUGAAGUGAAAGCCCAGGGCUCAACCCUGGGACUGCUUUGGAAACUGUGGGGCUAGAGUGCUGGAGAGGUGAGUAGAAUUCCUAGUGUAGCGGUGAAAUGCGUAGAUAUUAGGAGGAACACCAGUGGCGAAGGCGGAUUACUGGACAGUAACUGACGUUGAGGCUCGAAAGCGUGGGGAGCAAACAGGAUUAGAUACCCUUGUAGUC